Molecule: non-coding RNA, 2570 nt
Organism: Tetranychus urticae (two-spotted spider mite)
Lineage: Eukaryota; Metazoa; Arthropoda; Arachnida; Trombidiformes; Tetranychidae
Source: RefSeq, a predicted model, not a curated record
CAUGCAAACCCAAAGUCGCUUUUUGGGUUUCCAGUAAUUACAGAUUGUGUCUUGGGUCAAACACUUUCACCUUGACGAAGGCAACCACCAUUGACCAGCAUUGAUACAUGGAUCAACAUUAGAUUUACAGCAAUUUAACUCAUUUCUAACUGAGCAGUUAGACGAAAUAAAAAGUAAUCCUAAAUUGUUAUCAAUCGCAUGAUUAGAUAAGUGCUUAUUUUUCCAGAUGAUUGGGUACCUUGAAUAUUUUUUGGUUUCUUUCCUAAUCCUAUUCGCAAUUUACUAAUCAUAAUCAAACAUCUUGAGAAUGUAUUAAAAGUCCAAUCGACUCUCAAGUAUCCUUAAAUUAUCAUUUUUACAGUAAAACUAAUAACUGCUCUAAUCAACUCAUUGGAAAUCAACUCAAUUUCAUGUUUUUUACACCAAUCAUCAUUUUUGCUGCUCAUGGCAAUCACUUUCAAUGGAAACCCAAUUAAAAUGAAAUCUCAAAUUUUCUCUGUUUUCCAAGUCAAACCUAUCUGAAGGGAUCAGUUAAUUGUAGAGAUACAAAUUAAUUCUGGUUCAGCUUAUGUUGAUCGAGUUGUAUCGAUAGUUGAUCUUAUAAUGCAAAAAAGCUUCAAUCAAUUAAAUAGCAACAAACUGUUGUCAACAGUAAGCAAGGAGAAGAAGUAGAAAAAAUCUCAUUCCUUGUUGAUGGGUUCAACCAACAUUGAGCUGAAGAAGAUAGUUGAUAAAAAAAAGGUAAACUCCUCUUGGCCAUAAACAAGAUUCCAGAAGAAGGUCAAGCUGCGUGUUCAACAUCAACAUUCUCAUCAUGUUAAUCAUCAAGACAGAUAUUGACUAAAAGAUAAUCUCCUUUCCUUUGGGUUGAUUGGGCUGCUUUAAUUAAACCGUUUCAAUGCUGCACUGGCUUCUAACAGAUUUAAUAACAGACGAACUUUGAUUGCCGCUUAUAUGGCUGAAUCAUUUUUCUUUAUCAAUUGUAGCAUUAACUCCUAAUUUGGCUUUAAAUCAUUUCUGUUGAUUUAUUUGUUUGCAGUCUUCUUCAUCCUUCUUCAUCUUUAAAGCCGACCAUCUUUUACUCAUCUUACAACCGUUAAUUCAAGAUUGCGAUUUAUCCAUUAGAUUUACUUUACAUGGAAAUGUGACUUUGCUCUUAUAAGGCUGUGAUUUAUUGAUCACCAGUUGAUCUAUUCUGAUUACCUGGAGCAAACAGGUUUUAAAACAUAGAACGGUCAUUGAAUAAUUCCAGUCAGUAAAAACUCAAUAAAUUCCUGAAUGAGAAGCUGAAAAGUUUCAAAAAAUCCUGGUUUUGUUGCUAGGAGAUCAAAACAUGCAGUCUGGAUGUAUGGAUGAUUUGUCAAGAAUAAAAUUCAAAGCAAUUCUUUCAAUGUGUUGGGCUGGGCUCAACUACGUAAUGUCAAACAUUGAAGAUGACUUUUUUACAUCACGAUAACGCCUUUGAUAAGCAUCAUCUGGACAGUUUAAUGACAGUUUAUUUUGCAAAAAAUAUCGGAUAAACAAAAACUUUGAUUCAAACGUUAAAUACAUGGCUACUGGAUUAAUAAUGGUGCUGCCUGAUCUUCCUCGCUGUUUACACCAUACUUAUUCAUUUAAACCAGAUUGGUGAAUGCAAAUAAAUGGAAAUGAUAAAUUACAUCAAAUACUAUAUUAGUAACCAGGAAGAAAGUGUCUCUUUGUUAAUCAUCGAAAAUCGGAAUAUUGCCGCGCUAAUAUUAACCAGUUGCUCAAAGAACGGAAUCGUUGUAAAAGCAGUUCUUUAACCUUAUCUCAUAAAAUCAUAUUCAAGCCGAUCAAAAUCUAAUCAAGGAAACCUCGAAGCAAUCAUGGAGCGAUUGUAAUGUGCCUAAAUAUAUCGAACAACAUUGACAUCUGGUUUCGGACUGUACUAAGAAUAGUUUAACUAAUCUCUCAAUCAAGAUGAAUCAAGCUAUGGAAAACAAUCUUCCUGAAUCGUUCGCUCUACAAGUUUAGACAUCUGAUUCAGCUUCGUUCUUUGAUGGAAGGAGAAACAGAUAUUCAAUGCACCCGGUAUACACAUUUGAUGAUGCAUGAAUAUUCAGUUAAUCCAACUAAGGAAGUUUUUCUUCGUUAUCACGGGAAUUUCAUCUACUAUUAUGAUGAUGCAAAUACACUCAAGUCGAUGAGGAUUACAGCAGAGAUUUAAGCAAUUGAUAUUUUUUGAUUGCUGGUUCAAUCUGUUUUAUUCGAAAAUUGUCUUCCUUGGCAUUUGUUCACUUCCAUAUAACCUGUCGAUUGACUUUGCAUACAGAGCUCAGAACUGUGUGACACAACUUCACAUAAAUAAUGAUGAUUCUAAAGACAAUCUACAUUUAAAUCGGUUUUCCUUUCCAGCGGCUUUUUCCAGUGAAGAAAAGCCUUUGAUGGCAUACAAACUCAGAACUUUCGGUACUAUUCAAGACAAGCAUCUUAGGCUGAUCGUUUUGAUAAUCUCCUUUUAUUUGGUGGGUCAGUGAAAUCAGUUUCAACAUCAUAAGAUACAUUUGAUUUAAAACCAGGUGAUGAUGAAGAGGAGGACGAGGAUGAAG